ACAUCAAAAUAAAGAAAUAAUCAUCAAUCUUGAUGUUGCAGAGAGAUCUGAUCAAGAAGGGGUGACUGAACCACAAUUAGAGGCAAGAUGAUGGAAGCCGAGGAGCAAUCAAGUGGAAGCAGGUUUCUCAAAGGAGUAGAAAUCCACCUCAAGCAAAUGAGAAUUCGCAGAUCACCAUCUUACUGGGCUAAUUACUCAUUGAUUUCCUAGUUGUAUAAUUUAAGAAAGAAGCCAUGUUUGAUUGCAAUCUUCAAAGCUUGAUUUUCUGAAGGCAUUUGUUCUCCAUAACUAAUCUGUUUGGAAACCUUCCCCUCCAAUGGUGAUUUCCCCAUCUGUCACAUUUUACCUGGAGAAUUUGUCGAAGAAGAUUUCCAAGAAGUGUUUCCUUCUUUGAUUCUUUGCGUUGUAAUCAGCUCCUGAGAAAUGUUAGAAACAAAUGGUAUCAACA
This is a long non-coding RNA of Hemicordylus capensis (graceful crag lizard), 448 nucleotides long. RefSeq lists it as uncharacterized. Lineage: Eukaryota; Metazoa; Chordata; Lepidosauria; Squamata; Cordylidae. The record is from RefSeq and is a predicted model, not a curated record. The transcript is spliced from 3 exons.